Pogonomyrmex barbatus (red harvester ant) is the source of this 507-nucleotide long non-coding RNA. Lineage: Eukaryota; Metazoa; Arthropoda; Insecta; Hymenoptera; Formicidae. The record is from RefSeq and is a predicted model, not a curated record.
CCAUCUAUCUUUUCCUAUUUUCGCGUAAAUAACCGUAGUAUGAAAUAAAAUGCUCAGUCGAGGAGUGCUUUGUUUGCCCCUCCCCUUUGCAUCGGACCCUAUCCUAGAGAUACGGCUUAGACGCAACAGUCGUUAUCAAAUCGUCAGAGAGUGCAAUCACUGUCUCAAACCGCUGAAUUUUAUAAUUACAAAGGAAAAAUAAAAGAAAAGAAAAAGGAAAUUAGAAUUCUAAUACGUUUAAUAACUUACCUCUAACAAUUUAAGUGUGGCGUUUGGUGAGGAGCGUUGUCCACGAUGUGAUGAAUUUGAUGACGGAAAAAAGAUGUUGGCCGUGGUGGGAUUCGAACCUAGGUCCUCAGCUGUCUAAGACUUGGCGCGCUACCACUGGCACCAUGCGGGCCAUGGUUCUUUUUCGUGAAUGUUUUUGCUAGGUAUUAGUUGUAUGAGCGGGGGACCGCCACAGUAGAUUAAUAUGUAAUUUGAAUUACAUUAAUAUUAGUCAUAUUA